RNAcentral lists this long non-coding RNA (2176 nucleotides) under Musa acuminata (dwarf banana). RNAcentral's name for it is "long non-coding RNA (MACU_LNC011466)". Lineage: Eukaryota; Viridiplantae; Streptophyta; Magnoliopsida; Zingiberales; Musaceae. The record is from RNAcentral.
UUGAACCCUCGGCCUAUGGGAAAAUGACUCACUACACACUACCAGGCUAGCUGGUUAGGUAUUAAACUAGGUAAGUUUGAACAUAUUUUAUAUAUGAAAACCUUUUUACACUUUUCCGACAGGUGUGAUUCAGCAAAUAACCACAUGCUUUGUCAGCUAAGACCUUGCAAGAUCAGCUUCAGGAUUGGGAUUGGCUUUUGGGUAAUAUAAUGGGGAUUGGUAUGAUUAAAUUCAGAACAUUCAAGUUAUGUACCACCAUCAUUUCCUGAUCCAGUUAAAAACACGGAUAACUACAUAACCAUGCUAGAUUGAGAAAAAAAGUUGCAUAGUCUAAGUGAAUUUUCAGAAAAUUGCCUAACCAACCAAAAAUACUUGAUGAUGGAUAAGAUCUAGACAAUGCAAAUAAGAGUCUUUAUCAAGCACACAGAUCUCUGUUUCACCAUCUUCAUAAACUUAUUACAACAUAUCUUGCCACUUGUAAACUUUGAAGCCAAAGUUAGGCUUUUACACCUUUGUAAGCAAGUUGAUAGUUCAAUCCAAUGAGUUUCAGUAACUUCUGUUAUUAGGAGGAAAGAACCAUUUAUGCUUUAAGUUAUGUAUGUUUCCAUAAUUGUUGAUUGUUAUUGUUCUCAAUGAUUUUAAAAGCACUAAGCGCCAAAAUGAACCAAGGUCCCAAAUCACUUAAGGUGCUAGGCGCUCGCCUAAACUCCCACUCGAGCAAUGCGAGACACUCCAAAAUAUUAAAAUAUAAAAAAUAUAUUUUAUAUAUAGCAAUGACUUCAACGGUGGAGGGAGAUAGUACGAAGGCAACAAUGAUGGAGGGAGCUGCAAACAAAGGCAACGACAUUGAAUGUAGGGUUUCAAAGUAGGGUCAAGUUGUACGAGAGAAGGGGGGGGGGGGGACCAUUCAGUGUUAGAGCUCUUCUCUUUAGUUGGUUCGAUUGAACCAAUUUGCCUAUUCAAUUGAACCAAGCACGAACACAAGCCACCUUCACUUGGGUGCUCAUCCGAGGCGCCGACGCUUGGGCUCAGGUGAGCACCCAAUUACUUCAAUGAAUCACAUUGCCCAGAAGUUGUGCAAGGCACUCAAGCCUCGCCUCGCCCGAGCACCCAGGCACCUAUCAAAAACACUAAUUAUUCCUAAUUUUUUCCCUUUUUUGGGCUUCAGUAGAUAUUUGAUUGGAGUUGAAAUAUUUUCAAAAAAGAUUAUGAUUAUGCAAUGCUAUUGUGAGUUCGCAAGGAUUUGACUAAUUGAAUAGUUUCAUAUAUUGGUUGGUUUUAUUUUGACAACUUGAUGAACACAUAUUAGAAACGUACAUCCAAAGCUUUUUCUUAAUUGUUGUUCGAGUUUGCAAUUACUACGAGAGCUAGAGACAUUAUUACUGAAAUUAGUCCAAACAUAUUGCACAUGCAACACUGGUAACUUGCCAUUUUUCCCAAUUAGGAAAUUCUAGUCAUAUGAUUUUGUUUAUUCUUUUUUGUCCAUGUUUUCGUUUCAGUUUAACCCAAAUAUUAGUUAAGAAUUGCAAAUCCAUAUUGCAGGUUUUCAUCUUUCAUGGAGGUAAAUUAUAAAUUGUGAAUAGCAUCUUUAGGGGCCAUGCCCUCAUAAGACCUUAUUAGUGUAUUCCAAACUGCAGCCCACGUGUUCUUUAAUGAAUGUAAAAGAAGUUGAUGUUUAUUAUAAAUAAUAAUCUACUUGGAGAAAUGUAAAUUAUUCACAGUUGAACCACAUUUGCAUGCAGAUGAUAGUCAUAUAGAAGAGCUUAGUGUGACAAGGUUGCAACAUGGUCAUUCAUGUUUCCAAGUUUAUUCUUUUCUUUUAUCUGCUUAUUUACAUGUUUCAAUAUGAGACUGAAUAAGAUCAUUUUGAACCAUGUAUUUAAAUUCUUCAUAGAAGAGCUUAGUGUGACUAAAAUUUGUAAUGUUUUGCUUUCAAACUCAUCGCUUGGUCAUGUGAAAAGAAAAUUAUCUUUUCUAUUGUAUGAACCAAGUUAGUAAAGUCUCAACCAUUCCUUUGUUAAGGGAUUUGAUAAAAUUGAUUUAUGAUUCAAAGCAAGGUUAUCAAACUCACUUCCCUACCUAGGAUCAAAAAGGGGUUGCAAACUUGGAUAAUAGGAUAGGAUCAAAAGAUCCUACAAAUUAUAAAAAAUAAAAAUAAAUAAUUUUAAGAUACAUA